AUUGUCCUUAACAACAGUUUUAAUAGUUUUUUUUUUUUAACAAAAUACAUUGGAUGUUCCAAACCUUUUAAUAAAUUAUUUUUUUUAGCACCACACUUCCAAAUCAAUACGAACUCACGAGGCUAGUCCACUUUCCAUGCUAUCAUCAAUGACGUGCUAUCAUCAUCACCUUUUCUUUUCUACUUCUGGACUGAAAGAGAUUUUAUUGUCACUAAUUUCUUCCUUUGAACCGGUUUUCCAUUCAAUUGUGAUUCCUCAUAUUUAUUCAACUUGUCGGUAAUAAAUAUCAAAUUUCAAAACUAAAAAGGGUUUUAUCACAGAUGAUUCCUGAAAAGGGAAUUUUAUUUGAACCCAUAUAACAUUUUUCUACACCUAAUUUACUCUUUAUGUCCAUAUUAUUUUUAAUUAAACUAUCAAUAUCUCUUUAAACCUAAAUUUACUACCUAUACUAUCCUUACAAACUCAAUUCAAUAUGUAAAUUUAUUUUUACACCCAUUUAGAAAAUAAAAACCCAAACUUAAUAUUGUUUUACAAUUUCUGACCUUGAAAUAUGAAAUGAAUGGUUUAUUGGAAGUAUACUGCAAUAAACUGUGUUUUUGAGGAUUGAAAAUAUACUGCAAUAAAAUUUAUCCGAAGUAUACGGAAAUCAAUGAAAUUGUGUUUUUAAGGAUUGGAAGUAUACUGCCAAUUGAGUAGCAAAGAUGAUCUCUAAACCAUAACUCCCGAUCAUAAGUUGUAAAUGAUAUUUCUUGGGUAGAGUAGAAUGACGAAAGUAGAACAUGUAAGAAGCAAACAUAGUUUAGUAAAACAGUUCAACAAAAUGCUGGAAAAGUUAAUCAGCCAACUGGUCUUGACUGCUACCUAUAAGCCUUAAGCUAUAUCUCAAAGUGACACGAGUUUGAUAAAUGUAUCGAUGUCCAAGAAGUAAAUAUGUGAUCCAUUUACAAGAACACUAGAGACAUCUCAGAAUAUUCGAAAACAAACAUCCAUAGAAGAAUUGUUUAUGAUAAUAUGGACUUUAGACUAUAAUUGUAAAUCUCAAUCUUCAAAUGAUUAUAACCUUAUGUAAGUUCUUGUAACUUCGUACCUAAAUCAUACAUUAUGCAGAAGACGCAAUCUAUAAAGAUCAAACAUUAGCCGUCGUCGUUUUCUUGGAACCAAUAAAUUCUUAUAGGGUGACAAACCAUUUGUUUCAUAUUUCAAGUUCAGAAUUUGAAGUAUACUUUCAAUCCUCAAAACCACGAUUUCAUUAAGUUCAGUACACUUUGUUGAUGCACAAAAUCAGUGAGGACUUUGGUACAACAGAAAGUGUCAAGUUUGUGACAUUCGCUAGAUUGUUCCGGUCACUAGUGUGGGUAAGUAUGUAAAUGGAUAAAGACAGGGAAGCAAACACAAGAUGUACGUGGUUCACCCAGAUUGGCUACAUCCACGAAGUAGAGGAGUUCUC
This 1447-nucleotide long non-coding RNA is filed under the name Malus domestica (apple). RNAcentral's name for it is "long non-coding RNA (MDOM_LNC009488)". Lineage: Eukaryota; Viridiplantae; Streptophyta; Magnoliopsida; Rosales; Rosaceae. The record is from RNAcentral.